CCCACCAGGGGUUAACCGCCGCCGCCGCCUCAUUGGUCGAGGCGGGAAGAACCGGGGGGCGGAGCGGCGGCGGGAGACGCGCGCACGGCCGGCGUGGGGAGGGAGCUGCGCGGGCGCGCGCGCGCUCUCGGGGGUACACGUGACCGCGCGGAUACUACGUGGGACCGGGACCAUCCCGCUGGGGGUGGUUCGGACCCCUCGCCCACCUUUCCCGUCCCCCAGCCCCGUGUCUGGCGUGGGCCUCGUGCCGCCGGUUCCUCCCGCGGCCCCGCUCCGGGCCGGCUCCCCUCCUCCCGCGGUGCAGUGCCGCCCUUGCCCCCGGGCCGGGCCCCGGCGGUCUCUGCCCGGGGAACGGGGCGGCCGGGAGCGCGGAGGAGCGAGGCGCGACGCGUCGGACGUGCGGGAAACUGGGAGAACUCCCCUCGACAGCCGGAAUGAAGGUGUGUUUCUGUCCGGGACCCUGACGUCAGACCCCUUGGUCUCCUGAUGGAAAAUGCAGGUUCAGCCAAUGCAGCAACCAGACAGACUGGAUACUGUGGACUAGGAGGAAAUUUCUUCAAAAGGUAGAGUACGCACUUUAUAUGCAAGUCUGUUCCUACUCCUGUUUCUGCUUCCCUUGAAGAAAACCGCUUGCCUCAUCCCUUCCCAUCUCCAUUUUCUCAUUGAAAUGAGAAAAAGAAAAAAAACGUUACUGAUCUCUACAAAGUGUAGACAUAAAACUCUGCCUGCCUGGUAAAUUAAUUAACAUCUCCUCUCCCAGAGAAGAAUCUUUUUGGGAAACACUCUCUUAUCAGCCAAGGGACAGAGUAGCCAUUCUAAAAUCUUCUGAUUCCAACUUGUCUACAAAUGUUUUGCUUACUGUGAGCAGGAAAACGGUCACUUGUAAUAAUGUAGAUUCCUCCCCCCCCCGCCCCGCCCCGCCUUUGCAUUUCCAUACCAAAUGACUGGUCUGACUUUGUAGAAAUUAUAUUGCUUGGCUAAAGGGGGGGCAGUGAUAUCUACAAGUUAGCUGCCUGUCAUAGAUAAGUGAGGAUGUGUGAGAACAGUCAUCAUUUGGGGAAUGCCUCAGAAGAUAAGGUAAGAGAAUUUGGUUAUGGUGGCAGAUAAAGCCAGAGAUACAGAACCCAAAUUAUUUGCUUCCAAAUACAUUGCCUUUGUGAGAGGUGCUUUAAUUUUGUUGGCCUUUUUGUACAGGAAAGGGUUUGUGCUUAUUUGUUGGUAUCAGUAUUAAAACAUGUUAUGCAAAUACCUUUUAUGCUUCUCUUGGUCCCUAAAAAAACAGACCAAUGCUAUUUAACUUUACAAAUUGAAGCCACUAUAGCUUAAGAGAUGUUUAUCCAACUCACAAAAUCAAAAAAACGAAGAAUUACUGUUCAUUAGUUAUGGUAUGGUUAAGUUUUGAGAUUUGUGCUGAGCUUGUGUUUAGCUAGAAAUGGAAAUUUGAUUAAAAUGUAUAAACGAUCGUUUUAGUGUCUUGCUAAAAUUCUUGUAUGGGUACAUAGAGAAAAAUUAUCAAAAUAUGUUUUGUAUUUAACUCAGGUCUAUUGAAAAAUGGAUAUUAACUGCAAGUAAUAAAUUAGCAGGCCUCUUGUUUGACCAUGCGCAACACAAUUCUUAGACCAAGCAGAGAUUCCCAAAGAUACAGGUGAGAGACUAAGGAGAUUUUUAGGAGCACUCCUGAUGAAGUUCCAAUUCCACCUGUGUGUUUUAAGUAUCUUGUAGCAAGAUUUUCAAAUGUAGGUGUUUUUUAAAGUUUUUAACCAGGUCUGAAUUUCUCCUGCUUCUUUUUUGCUCAUAGACAAAUGGAGGAAAAUGAACUUUCCUGCCUGCUUGGAGCCAAGUUUUCUUCAGUUUUGCAUUAACCUGUUACGAUGCUUUUCUGGAGCACAGGAAGAUGUUUUCAGGCUUUAGAUGUGUCACAGGAAAGUAAGUGUUCAGUUAAUUUAACAUUUUUCCUUUCAUGUGGUAUUAUUUUAAGUAACAGAUACUCCUAUUUAUAGCCAGAAAGACACACUCAGAGGUCAAACAUUUAGGGUGGGAUCCAUCUUAUCCAACUUCAGUGAUCUAGAAGUUAGGUGUGUCACCUCAGUCAGUUCUCUAGGCUCUGUCUAUAGAUAAAUUGGGAUGGGGAGGGAAGGGAGAGCGGCAGUUCUGCAGGCAAUUCAUUCCAUGCUGGGAUACUCAUCCCACUAUCUAAAUCUCUUGGCCUUUGAAGGUGCCUAUCUCUCUAUUGAUUAAAGAUGGAGCCUGGAUGACUGGCUCAGAUUAGAGAGCAGACUUUUGGAUGGCUACAGUUAGGGUGGGUUUACUCACAAGUGGCAAUAAAAUCUCUAAAAAGUGUAGGUAGGAGCAUUGGAGUUUUUUGUGUAUGUAAAAAAUUGAUGUAUCCUUUCUAAAUGAGUGAGGGGAUUACUUUAUUAGAGAAUACAACUCUCUCUCAAAAAUUACCUUUUGUGUUUGUUGUAAUGCAGGAGGAACUGGCCAUGAGUAGGUAAGCAAUUUUAGAAGUUGAGUUACAGAAGUAUUUCUAACUUGCCAGGCAGUUCGUUGCAGGUGCAGUGCUAUGUAACAGGUGAUACAAACAAGAAGACUAAGUAUUUCAAGGAGAGUUUCACGGCAGGUGACCUACAGUCUUCAGUGAAAUACUGUGUGAAGUAAGCAUGUGUAUUUCAAGGAAAGGUAUUUUGUUACUGCAGCCUUAAGUAACCUCUCAUUCCAGAAUCAAGCUGACUUCUUAAGGCUGCAACAGUAAGGGAAUCUUACGGAACAAUAGUCACAUGCUGCCAUGUUUGAACUGAUGUACAGCCAAUGCAGUUUAAACCCCACCAAACCUGUUCAGAGAUAAACUAUAAAUAAUAAUCUAAAGGAAACACUUUGAUGUCUGUUUUGUAUACAGUAUUUGAGACACGUGAACAGGAGAAAGAUACUUUUUCAUCACUACCAUGUAAUAUUCUCAUGUAAUGUAUGCUGGACUAGAUGACUAAUGUUGUAAAGUUUCCAUAGCAUAAUCCACUCAUCAUUCUGAGAAAGAGUCUAAGAAUUAAAGCGGCAGUGAAGCCAUAUGAUCUGUAUAUAGCAUAGCUGUGUGCACUUCUUGGGAUUUGAGUGUCUGAUACGUCAUGUGUUUUCAGCCCUGCGUUUGGUGGAUUAGAGAUGUAAUUUCUUUAAACAAUAACAUAAAUUGUAUGCUUAAUCCAAUGCACAUGGUGCAGAAGAGUGUACUUACUGGAGAAUGCUGUGGCCUCACUGGGAAUGUGUUGCUAUAGACUCUCAUAAAAGUCUUACACUAAUAGGUACUGUUAACUUUUUAUGUUGUAGCUAGAGAAGAUAUAGCUCUAUAUGACAGGUUACAUGCCGCUGUUUUUACAGAUGGAAGAUCUUGUUCUGCUCCCCUGUACUUUCUAAUGAUAAAACUGUUAACUGUAUUCAAAGGAGUGGAGAAAACAAAAAACUUGUGUCCUGGGAGAAGUUCUCUCUGUACCUGUAGGCUUAUAACCAUUUGGGCUCUCAAGAUGUUUCUGUACAAAAAUCUUUUUUCUUAAAUUUUCAGCAACUUCGUUACGGGUGUAGCACUCUGCUGGAAAAUUGAGGGGGAAAAAGGAUGGGUCAUGCUUUAAGAUAGAGUCCAGUCAUUUAAUUUGUUACUGAAAAUCUAAAAUUGUUCCCAGGUCUCUCGGCCAUGAUUCAGGGAGCCAGGGAGUCUUCAUGUUAAAUGUGUAUUAUUCCCAUAUUCAAAGCCAGCAAUUCCUAAUUUGAAAUGUGUGUCUUCUGCUAGAAUGUCGUCUUCUUGGUUAGCUUACGUGAGGUAAGUAGAUCUCAUAAGAAAAAACAUGCAUGUAAUGGAGCUCAUGCCUCCUGCUGUUGUACCUGGUAAUGGGUGAACUUGAAGGACUGCAGCUCGGAAGGGGAGAUUAGCAAAGUCUGCUGCUUGAUUCUGAAGUCUGGGAUAUACUAGAGGGUGGUUUUCAGCAAUUACUGAGACAAGGUGCUGUGCAAAGGAGGCUUGGAGAGAAAACAAUGUCUGAGCAGAAUACUCACAUAUAGUAGGAGAAAGAAAGAACAGACCAAAUUAAAAGUGUAUUUUUUUAAAAAUAGUAUUCUGUUUAUACUUAGUAUUUAAACAACUACGCCGUUAAGACUACUUCACUGGAAAGAACAUUCUUUACGUUUUUGUGUGUGUACUCAUCACAGGUUUUAUAGAUCAGAAUACACAAGGUAAGUUUCCUCUAAAAAUACAAUAGAGUAUUGAAUCUGUUUAAAUAAAACACCAUUGUAGUUGUGAAACAGGAAAUGGUUAUGAUUUAAGACACAUCUCUGUGGAAAACCUUUCUGUGCUAUAUACAUAUACAUCUCACAUAUGUAUAUUUAAAGAAAGCCCACAAACGUAAGCGAUCUCUUUUUGGGCUUUUUGAUAACCAGAAUUGUCAUAGCGUGGCUGUCUCGUAUACAGGUGUAUACAUUUUAUUGUGAAUCUGAGUUUUCCUGUCACAGACGUUUUUUAAUAGUACAUUUUUAUACAAGAGCAGCUGCACUCAGAUAAUCUGACCAGCAGAUGUAAUCUAAGAUAUUUGCAAUGAUGUUUCUUCCAUGUUAUAAACAAAAAUACUGGGUUUGUGCCUUACUGAUGCUUAAGGUUCAUCCUUUCUAGCUGUUUGGAUAAAUAUUGCUUUUCUAGAUCAAAGUAAUGAUGUUCUAGUCCUGGGAACAUUAAUGAGACAUGUUGGUUUUGCCUCUAAGUGCCUUGGUUUGUAAUACGUUCCAGAAAUGUAUUCCUGAAUGUCUUUUUAUUUCUACUGUUGUGAUCCUAUGACAAGGUUUACUGCAAUUCUUAGCUGUAUAAGCAGAAGAAUGUCAACAGUAAAGGGAGAUGAGUUCUGUAGGGCAUUGAUGGAACCCUAUUGAAAACGAUUCCAUGAAAAGCCCUAGAAAUAGUGACACUAGAAAAUGUAUCACCAGUAUGUGUUUAGAAUCUAUUUUAGCUGGAUUUAUUUAAAGAAGAUGAAGCUGAACCUCAGAAGAGUUUAAAGACUGGAAAGGAGUAUAUUCAUCAUGGAGGAGUACACACAGUAAUAACCUACUUGCAUGGGGAUGAUUAGAUGCUGCUUUAAAGGUCUGUCUAUUGCUUAUGUCUCAAAUUCAAAACCGGUAUUUCUAUUCUACAAAAAGACAAGCUACAGCACAAGGUGAAGUAACUUGAAUCUUUCCUCUUUUUCUUCCAGUUGCUAUGUGAAAGUUCUACACAAUUUCUUAUCCUGCCUUCUGUUUCUGUCCUUCUAGAAAGGCCCGAGUACGUGUUUAAAUUAGUAGCCUUAAUUUAAAAAGAGGUGCGAUAGUUAGCAUUAAUAAGAAUACAUAAUUUGAAAGCAAGUAAAAAUAUUUUUGGCAAGACUCCUUUUCUAGCUGCAUUGCUCCAAAUGAAUUAACUAAAUCAACAUAUGCUGAAAAAUAUUUGUCUUGGUGUUUACUGAAACAAGAGUCGGAUCCUUUGUUAGAACCAAUAUGUCUCCAAUUCUUAGCUUACUGGAUGAAAUGCAUAAUUUAAUUUUUUGCUAAUUAUUUUAAAGUGUUUUGAGGUCCUAACUGGUACCAAAAGAAUUUUCUUUUCAAGCUGUAUGUGAUAUAUGUGGAACACAACAUAAGGAGUGUAAGGAGAGAACUGUAAUGUCCAGUACAAGAGAAUUUAAACAAGGCUAUUUUUUCUGUACCAGUACACUAAAUGAAAAGGUAUACCUGAACCAUCAAGAGUAGAGAGUCAAUGAUAGUGCUGCAAGAAAGUGUAGCUUGAGACUGCUUUCUCUAUAUAUAUAUACACACACAAAAUAAACAGUUAAUUAUAAAAGUUGAAAUGCUUUUGGUUAGACACCCCCCCCCCGCUAAAAGGUAUCCUUUCUUGUAUUCUUGGUCUUGUAUCAAAUGCCUGUUCACAUUCUAAUCCAUUGUAUUAAUCCCUCCUUUUUCCUCCCAUAACACUGUUGUAUUCACAGUUAAGUUGUUGCCAUUUGGCUUGUUUGUAUAGCAUUCCGUAUGAAAUAUCUCACAACGGUUUCUACUUCAUACCCAAAGAAUUCCCCCUUAAUUGCAGCAUGCUGCAAUAUUAUCAAACGCAUGCUAAACACAACAGGUUAAAACAAGAAAUGAAGACUACCACUGAUACUGCAGGAAAAAUCUGUGUAGGCAGAAGUAGUCAUCGCAGAUGGGAUUCAUUCAGUAUCCUGCUGUUAGUUCUACCACCCACAGAAUCCCUAUUAUCAUUUCCUAGCAAACACACUUCAUUAGCUCUUAAGAAAUCUGUAUUGUCUGUUCCUGCGGAUAGCUGAAAUUACUGAGAUGAUAUGGAUAUAAAAUAGUUAAAGUUCAGGUCAAUUAAAAAAAGUUUGUUUUUGAAGGUCAUAAUAAUUAUUGUUUGUCAUCAAAUGAAAAUACACUUAAUAUAAUUUGAAGAACUACUUCCAAAUUUAUCCUUGAUUACUAAAAGUGUUCUUCCUGUCAGUAUUGAGCGCUAGGGUAUUGUGGUACAGUUGUUCUCCCUGUUCCCUACCUGUUUGUUCGUUUGUCCCAAUUAAUGAAGUGAUACUAUAAACCUGAGAAAGCGAUGUGCUGUCACAGAGGAAGGAAGCAAGGUUUGGCCUUUUUGCUGAAGCACAAGCUGACAUUCCUGAUUUGUAUACAGGGUGGAGUUCUGCAUUCUUUUUAUUCCUGUGAGUGUUGACAGUGAUGACAGUUCUUAUGGGAGAGACAGUACUUUGAUCAUGUGCAUAGCUGAGUAUGAAGAGGAAACUUGCAUUAAAUUAUUGUAAGGGACACAAUGACUUAGGAAAGCUGGGAGAGUGAAUGAAAAGCUAGAAAUUCUGAUUAUUCUGCCCUUUUUCUACAAAAAAAUAAUGCUGUUGUGCUGUAACAUAAGUUACAAAGCAGCUUUGCUGCAAGCAGGAUCAAGAGAUGGAUCCAAAUUAGAACAGAAAAAUCCCUGAGUGCUUGUUUUAUUUUAGAUGGGGUAAAAAAAACCCCGCCUCUAAAAUUAUGAAAAAUUGCCUGAUCUGAUUCACAAAUAGUUGUAUCAGAACAACUAUGAGGAGGGAGGCACUGUGGUGUAAGGGUGGAAACUCCACAAGUUGGUGUAGCUGCCAGAGUAUUCUCAUACUGUUAAACCACAACCAAAGAAAUCAUAGUACCCUUAGCAGAAUUUAAUUAAAACUUCCAAAUAAUCCAUUCCUGUGGUGGUCAGUUCAUUUUGAAUAAGGGGAGAGUAAUUGUUUCCAAGUCCUUUGCCUAAAGCAAUGGAGUAGACUACAGGAAUUUCUUGUUUAAGAGUUCUUCAUAAAUUACCAAAUCAGAGUCACAUGGCUUUAUAUUCUUAAAGUAAAGUGAAUAUUAGCUGCUAAAUGUUAGUUGCUAAAGGUCAUGGAAUUAUAGUAUGAAGAGCUUGCUGUUCAAGCACUAUCUUGUCACUUCUUGUUCCUCUGUUUACCGAAUUGUUAACCAACAUAUUUAAUGCCUCAGAGAAUCUCCAUCUUACUAUUUUUUCCGUCCUUGUAGCUUUACAGAUUUCCGUGAAUGAAACAAUAGAGAUUUCACAUGUUGAUUUCCUCAGUUAGUUUCAUUUUGGCCAUCUGGUGGUGAUGUCACAUAUAAUCACUUGUGUCUAACAAGCACCUGAUACGUUUUCCUUCCUUGGGGAAUGAAAGUACAAUUCAUAUACCAGCUCUGUAUCAGGCUGUAUUUGUACUACAGGCAGUGGUUCACUAUCAUGAGUCAGAUAAAUAGGAGACUAGUUCAGCUGUUUCAGUUACUUUAGACCAUUUCCUGCAACUUUACUCACCCUCCCAAUUAACAUGAAUACAUGUUUGGGUUUUUUUUCCAAGUUAGCCAUUAAAGAGGUUAAGCAGGUUGGGCCCUGUGACUAAUUUAGUUUCCUUGGCUCUGACUGCAUUUUGCUGCUCCCCUAGAGUAUUCCGUAAUACUUCAUUAGCAUGCAGGGGAUAGUCUGAGAUUCCUAAUUGUAGGACAAGACUUGAAAAUGCUCUCAAAAUCUCAGAGCUCCACAAUGAGAAAUCCCAGCCAUAAGUAAGACUAAGCAUGGAAAGGGGAAUACAGAAGUACUUUUAUUGUAAGAUCACAUCUUGCAUUACCAUUGUCGUCAUUAAUAUAGCUCCUUACCCCUGUUCUUCCAUGUUCCAUAUUGAUUAAAAAAUAAACAAACUACUACUGCCACAGCAAAACUUGGUGAAAACGGUGCUGCAGUAAUUGGAUGAAGCUUUUCAACCUCUACAGGAAUUUGUUCUUCCACUAACAUUGCAAAGGGAGUAGGCAAUCAGUUUUUGUCAUUGCUGAUGCCUUAUCACAGGCAACAAAUGAAAUAGUUGCCAAACUAUUUUGCCAGACAACGUUUAAAUAUAGUACACUCAUUUUAGAAAUGUCAGCAAUAUAAAGAGGCAGCAGCUAAAUGGAAAGAGCAUGACCUAUCAGUGAGCAGUACACAUUUCCCCUACCAGUGUUUAUUUGUGAAUCACGAUGAAUAUUACCUCCAUGGAUUGAAGUCCUGAUCUUAGUCAUUUGCACAGAAAAUGGGUUUGUUCAGGAGCUGAAGCUUGUCUAUACCGACACUAACCUGGAACAGGAAAAGCUUUUUGUUUUAAGUUAGCUUUAGAAAUCACCUUAACUAAAUUAGAAAAAAAGGCACACACUGAAAUAAGAGUACUCACUUCAAGGGUACCUCUUUGCAAUGCUUCUCUACCUAGGGCUACGUGCCAGAUGCUAGUGCUGAAAGAAAACUGAUUACUCCUUCCACACAUUGCUCUAAGAACCUUAGAUAACUUUCCUCUGUUGUCUUUUAUACUACCUGGUGUGCUUCAGCAUGGAGGAGCAGAAAAUAUAUAGAUAGUACUGCAGGUGUUACAUAUUAUGAGUGCGGCAUUUUUGCUUUUGAGUCAAGCCACUGACUGCAAGUUUAUUUCCAUCUGUAUCCUACUCAAGUAGAGAAAAAAUAAAAUCUAUUUAAACAUAAACACCAGUUCUACUUCCCUUAUCUUUUGCAGAGAUUUGUGUGUUAAGAAUCACAAACAGGAAGGAAUAUUCUGCAGCCUUCAUAGAAAUUUCUGACAGAGAUGCACUAAUAGAAUAACCAGCUGCAGACAGAAUUAUUUCAGUAGAAAAUGAGUUUUCAUAACCCAGACGCUGCUGCCCAUAUGUACUUUCUCUCCCUACUAGGAAAUCAAGCAAGUCAGAUACCAAGAAGCCUUAAGAGUUGAAGUAGGUUAAGUUUACCUAGAAGUGCAGUUAACUGUGCUCCAAGGGCAGGUUAGCAGAAGCUCCUCUUGCUUUUCAAUUAACAUCCAGAGAUCAGACAGCUUAUGUUGAUGUAGCUCAGCCCCAGUGUGCUAGGUUCUAGCUAAGGUGAAGCAAAUCCUGCAGUGAUUAAUGUUUUUUUCCCCAGCUUGUUUUCCUCGGCUCUGUAAUUGAAAAUUGCUAAAGCAGGUCAUUUGAAGUAUGUGUAGUAUCUUAGGAACUAUAACUUAGUGAUCAUAAAUUUGCAUUACAAAUGCAGGUAUAGCUCCUCACCUGGCAUAAAUUUUCAAUCUGAACCACUUAUUAACCGUACCACAACCCUGACCCUGUAAUCACCACUGGCCUAGUAUCUGUUCAUUUGAAGCUGCCAUUUUCUUCUAGUUUUUAUUCUCUGUUCCCUUCUUCUGGAUGCUUUUGGUUUUAUGUAAAGAAACAAUGAGUUCUUUCUACUUCUCAUUCAUUCUUCUGCAGUGAGGAAACACUGAAAAACCCAUAUAGAAAUUAUGAAAGCAAUAAAAGAAUCAGCUAAAACAUAUCAAGGAAAGAUGCAACAACAAGGAAAACUGGGAAGUGGAAGAAAUGUUGAGAAUGCAUGAAAGACAUAUGUCACCUAUUCUUCUCAAAUUGAGUAAUGCUGUAUCUGUGUUUUCUUAAAAAAAAACUUUCAGAGAAAUAUGUCUGGUAAUCUUGCUCUACACAGGAGGUACAGCUAUUAAGCUUAAGCAGAAGUAUGAAUUUUGAAGAAAUUAAAGGCAACGCAGUGUUUGGAAUGUUUACCAUCAGCAGGUAGGGUUAUCAAGCUCCUGAAUAUACAAAAUACUUAAGUUAUGGCCAGAUACUGCUGUCAGAAAGACUGAAGAGCAAAACUUUAAUCAAUCUGAAAGAUUUAAGGUGUUUCAGUGAAGUAGAUAAAAAAAUGUAUGUAAGCAUUAAAUCAUUAAAAUUACUUAAGCCUCUUAAUCUUCUCAAAAGCAGAUUAGGCUAGAUGUAAACAAAACAUGACACGAAGUCCAGUUUUGGUUUCAUACACUAUGUAUCCUUGGUACAGAAUUCAGUAUGUACAGUUCUGAAUGCUGAUUUUCGUAAGAUACUAUAGGCUUCUACAGUCUCCAAAAUGUAACACUAGCUAUGGAGUUACUUUAACAGCUAUCUGCAAAAACCACUAAUGACCCCCCCAUCCUAGCAAUACAUAUAUUACUUCUGAAUUUUCAGGAAAAAGGAAAACUCCUUGAAGUCAGUUAAAUGUUUGUUUGUGCUCAUAUUAACUGCUGCCACAGUGCAUGCUUUCAUUAUUCCCUUUAAAUUCUGUGAUUUUCAUAAGCUCAAAUGGCAGAUGAGGGGCCACGCAAUAUCAAUUUUCUCAUACAAUAUGUGUAUGUUAUUACUUCCUUGCAAAGCUUGUGAUUAAAGGAAGAGCCUUUCAGAAUAAUUCCUUAGCCCUACUGAACGUGAAGGACAAUAAAAGAUUGUUGCCAGUAAUGUACUUUUUAAAAACCUCUAAACAUUUUGCAUGGUGUCUUAAUAGCAAUACAGCUUUUGCUUUUAAACCUUGCAGAACUAAGAACUCUUUAAAAAAGUAAGGUUUUAAAAAGAACUUUUUGCACCCUUAAUUAUUGCACCACAAGUUGACAAAAGGCUGAGAAUUAAGUCUUCACAGUUGGUACACUAUUAAAUGACAUUUUAAAAGUAAAUGGAGCAUUUCAAAAGUUCUAACCAAAAAAGAUAUCAUUAGAAGAAAAGAGGCUUAAUGCUAUUGUAAGAAAUAUUGACUAAUUCUAUUAAGUUUACUUAUAGGAAUUUGGUCUUUUUCAAGGUACUGUUGAAAAAGUUUAACAUGGACCUUGGAAGAACUACAGAAAUAAAAAAACACUUAUGCUAAAAAUUAGGUUAAUAAUACACUAGAGCGUACUUUGUCCAACAUGUUUAAUUCCUUGUUGCUCAAUGAUUUAUUCUUUCUCUAAUUACAGCAGAUGGAUCAGGUACAGUUUUAGAAUUAACUUCCCUAUGGUUGUAACUUGCUUCA
Molecule: non-coding RNA, 11308 nt
Organism: Phalacrocorax carbo (great cormorant)
Lineage: Eukaryota; Metazoa; Chordata; Aves; Suliformes; Phalacrocoracidae
Source: RefSeq, a predicted model, not a curated record